RNAcentral lists this long non-coding RNA (450 nucleotides) under Triticum aestivum (bread wheat). RNAcentral describes it as "long non-coding RNA (TAES_LNC012940)". The record is from RNAcentral. Lineage: Eukaryota; Viridiplantae; Streptophyta; Magnoliopsida; Poales; Poaceae.
CAGUUCUAAUCUAGCUUAUUGGUUGCUUUCUCUAGUUCUUCUAAGCAGGCCAUUUUUUACUAAUAGUUUGUAUCAGUUUUCGUUUACUUGUCUCUGGUAGUUUUGGAUGGCUUCUGGGUGAUAUUCCCUAUGUCCCAAAAUAAGUGUCUCAACUUUGUACUAACUUUAGUAUAAAGUUGUACUAAGGUUAAGACACUUAUUUUGGGACGGAGGGAGUACUUCUCUAGGGGCAUCUGAUAUUGAAACUGAAUAGUUGAGCAGUAGGGUAAUAGCAUUUCUGUUUAAAGCCUACUUGUAUAUCACUACAUAAACAGAAAUUUCUAAUGCCCUGGUAUUUGUACUGGAGAAGCAAAUUGUUGCUUGGAUUGCAUGGUGCUGAAAAACAGAGGACAUUUCAUACAAUAAGGGAACUUAAGUUAUGGUGAACUUAAAAAGGGUUAUGGCAUUACC